Molecule: ribosomal RNA, 261 nt
Filed under: uncultured bacterium
Lineage: Bacteria
Description: partial 16S ribosomal RNA
Rfam family: Bacterial small subunit ribosomal RNA
Source: RNAcentral
GGGGGUACGAGAGGGCCGCUACCACGCGAGUGGAUGCCAAUACCCUAAAACCCCUCUCAGUUCGGACUGGAGUCUGCAACCCGACUCCACGAAGCUGGAUUCGCUAGUAAUCGCGCAUCAGCCACGGCGCGGUGAAUACGUUCCCGGGCCUUGUACACACCGCCCGUCAAGCCAUGGGAGCCGGGGGUACCUGAAGUGCGUAACCGCGAGGAUCGCCCUAGGGUAAAACUGGUGACUGGGGCUAAGUCGUAACAAGGUAUC